GUACUCGUGUGGUGUUUUAGUCACGAUCGCGUGCAAGAAGAAAAUUACAGUAGUAGGAAAGAAAUAACAGUAGUAGGAAAGAAAUUACAGUAGUAGGAAAGAAAUUACAGUAGUAUAAACGUAGUUACAUGAAUAGUUAUUUACAAAUAGUAUAGAAAUAGUAGAAUAGUUAUUUACGAAUGGUAGAACUAUUAGUAUAUUUAUUUAGAACAUGUGAGCAGCAAUAUUCUUUUGAAAGCAUCACAGAGAUUUGCUUUCCCUAAUUUCAUUUGGAAUAGAGUUCCAUAGCUUAGCAGCAUCAUACAUGAAACUAUUUUUCAUGCUAUUGGUGCGUGGUUGUGGCAGACAAAGACCACUUGAAAUACUUCGGAGUCUAUAAUUUGUUAUCUCAUUUUUAUAAAUAAAGAGGUUUGUGAGAGAUUCGGGGCCUAUCCAAUUUAGAGUUUUGUACAUCAUUGUUGCUUUUGCCUUUUUUCUCAUGAUAUCAAGUGGCUUCCACCCUAAGGCACAUAAAGCAAUAGAAUGAUCUACAUCAUUGCUCAUAUUUGAAAUAGUUCGAGCAGCUCUGUUUUGCAGCUUUUGUAGUCGUUUAGAUUGAAUAUUUCCCCAAAU
Molecule: non-coding RNA, 612 nt
Organism: Paramuricea clavata
Lineage: Eukaryota; Metazoa; Cnidaria; Anthozoa; Malacalcyonacea; Plexauridae
Source: the annotation of a GenBank genome assembly